Hypanus sabinus (Atlantic stingray) is the source of this 7796-nucleotide long non-coding RNA. RefSeq lists it as uncharacterized. The record is from RefSeq and is a predicted model, not a curated record. The transcript is spliced from 4 exons. NCBI's taxonomy places the organism in Eukaryota, Metazoa, Chordata, Chondrichthyes, Myliobatiformes, Dasyatidae.
UAAGGCUCCUAUGUCUCCUUCCCAUUGGCAGCAGUGAGAAGAGAGCAUGGCCUGGAUUUUGGGGGUCCUUGAGAAUGGAUGUUGCUUUCUUGUGGCAGCACUCCUUGUAGAUGUGAACAAUAGCUGAAAUGGUAUCUGUUUCAUCUCCUGCAUGCGUACUCUCACUGCUCAUUUCAGGUAGAGAAAGGAAACUGUUCCCCUUGUCCUUCACCCUGCCUCUGCCCCACCCCAACCCCCUCCACAUUUGAUAGAUAAUUCUUGUUCUCUUUUAAAUCUGUCCUUAAAUUGAAUCCAAAAUUUUCAGACAUCAACUGAAAAGACAAGUUGUUGGUACAUCUCAUAUCCAGUGAAUAAUCCCUCCAGUAAUUCCAUUUGCUUCCUCCAGACCAAGGGUGUAACCAUGGCAACCUAUAUGGGUCCCCAUUAACUCUCUUAAUCUGAGAGUUUGUUGCUGUUGGAUCAGCUGGCUGUUUCCAGCACCUCUUCUGACAAAUAUUCAGGAACUGCAUUUUGUCUUUACAGCCUUUCAAACCCAAUGGUCUUUACUUACGUUCUUGGAACCCAUAUGGAACUAUUACUUAGAUUGUGUUCUCUGCAGUGUUGGAGGCUGGGGUGCGACAUGAUAUAAGAAUAUAAAAUUCUGAGAGGAAGGAAAAUGACAAAUAAAGAUUAUGGAUAAGCUGUCCAUGUGAAAUUGAAACAUGAGGAAAAUUUAAUGUAAUGACAUCAUGAUGCUGAUCUUAACUGAAUUACUCAGCUAAGUUCUGAUGUCCUGGAUAUGGAGACAUAAGACACAAGAGGUAAGACAAAGAAGCAGAAACUGGCCAUUCAGCUAAUCAAGUCUGCUCUGCUAAUAAUAAUAGAUUUAUUAUCUGAUUCUCUAUAACCUUUGACGUCCUUACUGAUCAAGAAACUUUCAACCACCUCUUUAAAUAUACCCAACGACUUGGCCUCCGCAGUAGUCUGUGGUAAUGAAUCCCACUGAUUCACCAUCCACUAGCUAAAGUGAUUCCUCCUCAUUUCUGUUCUCAAGGGACGUCCUUCUAUUCUGAGGCUGUGCCCCCUGGACAUAGACUCCCCCACUACUGGAAACAUCCUUUCCAUGUCCACUCUGUCUGGUCCUUUCAAUAUUGAUAGGUUUCAAUGAGACCCACCCUCAUUCUUCUCAGCUCCAGCAAGUUCAGGCCUAGUGCUGUCAAAUGCUCCAUGUACAUUAGCCCCUAUUAUUCCCUGGAUCAUUCUCAUAAACCUCUUCUGGACUCUCUCCAAAGGCAGCACAUCCUUCAUAGAUAAGGAGCAGCUGAGGGAGUAGUGAGAGAUAUGGAUGUGGAAGGUACGGAAAAUGAAUUUGGAUUCAAUUUUAAAGUACAGAACUGUGCAAAAGUCUUAGACAUAUAUACAGUAUACAGCUAAGGUGCCUAAGACAUUAGCACUGUACUGUACUGCUGCAAAAUUUAAUGAUACAGCUCAAUGAUAUUCUUAACUCAAACCAGCAAGUGUGAUAGAGGUGCCCAUUGAACCAGACCAAUAUUCCUGAAAAAUAAAUUCCACUUUGAUUGCUUUCUAAUAUAAGCAGAUCAGAAAGACAUAAAAGCUUUAGGAAGAAAAUGGUGAAAACAUAUUUCUGGUUAAUCUGCCAAAAUCCUGCUUCAGGAAAUAUCUCUGUUUCUUUUUGUCGGAGAUCAAAGUAUUUAUAUUACAUUCAAAUAGAUGAGAUUUAUGAAAGCAUGUGCAACUAGCUCCACUUACCCACUCCAUUUUUAUGGGAUACAGUGACGCAGAUGACAGAGCUGCUGUUUCAGAGUGCGCGUGACCCAGUUCAAUCCUGGCCUCCAGUGCUCUCCGAAUGGAGUCGGUUCAUUCACAUUGUGAUUCAGCCGGGGUUUUCCCCUGCAUCGCAAAGACAUGGAGAUGUGGGGGGGGGGGGUCAGUGACUGAAUGGGCCCCGGUAUUCCAAUGAGUAGUUGCAUCUAAGGGGAAUUAUUGAGAAUGUACAGUACAGAGAAUAAAAUGGGAUUAGUGUAGGGUUAGUGUAGCUGUUGCUUGUUGGCAUAGACCUCAAAAAUUCAAGGUAAAAUUUAUUAUCAAAUUAUGCAUAUGUCACCAUUGUUCAAUCUUCUUGCAGGCAUUCACAGGAAAACAAAAAAAAUGCAAUACAAUCAAUGAAAAAACCUUCUGGAAAUCCAAGUAAACAACAUCCACUGACUCUCCUUUGUCUAUCCUGUCUGUAAUUUCCUCAAAGAAUUCCAUGAAACUUCAUCCUUAACAAUGGACUCCAACAUCUUCCCAACCACUGAACUGGCCUAUCAUUUCCUUUCUUCUGCCUCCCUCUUUUCUUACAGAAUAGAGCGACAUUUGCAAUUUUUCGGUCCUCCAGAACCAGUACAGAAUUUAGAGAGUCGUUCAUAGAAGAUAGAACAGUACAGCACAGGAACAGUCCUUUCAACCCACAAUGGUGUGACAAAAAGUAAAUAAAAAACCCCAAAAACAAAUCCAUCCUACCCCCACAAUGUCCACAUCCCCCCCAUCUUCCUCAGAUUCAUGUGCCUGUCUAAAUAUUUCUUAAAAGCUUCUGAUGUAUUUGCCUUUACCACCAUACCAGGCAUCCACGACUUGCUGAAUAAAAUAUUCACCCCUCACAUCUCUUUUGAAACCACCGCCCUGUCACCUUCAAUGCCUGCCCGCCGGUAUUAGGCAUUUCUUCCUUUCUACUCGAUCUAUGCCUCUCAUAAUCUUAUAAAUCUCUAUCAGAUCACCCCUCAGCCUCCAGCACUCCGGAGAAAACAAUCCUAGUUUGUCUAGUCUCUCAUGAUAGCACAUGCACCCUAGACCAGGCAGCAUCCUGGUAAACCUCUUCUGCACCCUCUCCAAAGUCUCAACGUCCUUCCUAUAGUGGGGCAACCAGAACUGUAUGCAAUACUCCAGAUGUGGCCUAACCAGAGUUCUACAAAGUUGCAACAUAACCUCUUGACUUUUGAACCCAGUGCCUCAAUCAAUAAAAGCAAGCAUUCCAUAAGCCUUCUUAACCACCCUACCAACCUAUGUAGCCACAUUCAAGGAACUUUGAGCUUGGGCCACAAAAUCUCUCUGCUCAGCAACACUGUUAAGGGUUUCGAAAGAUCAUUACUAAAGCUUCCACAGUCUCUUCAUCCACCUCUUUCAGAACCCUGGGAUGUAGUCCAAGUGACUUAUCGACAUUCAGACCUUUCAGCUUACUAAGCACCUUCUCCGUACUAACAGCGAUUACACUCGCUUCUGGCCCCUGACACUCUUGGAUUUUGGCAGACCGCUAGUGUCUUCCACAGUGAAGACAGACACACAGAUGUACUGUGAUAACCAAAACCUUGCAUCAGAUGUGAGGCCAUAAAUGCCUUUUAGACCCAUGAAGAAGAUUGAGACAGGAAACCCAGAAGCCUUCUGUCCCACCCCCGGUUCUGGAAUAGUUAUUACCAUACAACCAUCAGGCUGCUGAACCAGUGUGGAUAACUUCAUUAGCACAACUUGUGAUUUCACAACCUACAGAUCCAUUCUCAAGGACUUUACAACUCCUGUUCUCAUUGUACAAUGUACUGUGUAUGUAAUCAAAAUGGCUUCUUUGGUUUGCUAGAGUCGGAAUGCUUUUAUGUCUAAUAAGUGUUUUUUUCUUGCAUUUGUUUAGCUUUGGACUUGCUGAUAUGCGGAUUGUAUUCACUUGUUAACCAAUGGGGAAUGUUAUUUUGUCUUGUGGGGCUGGGAGCUUGGGGGUUUCGCGGUCUUUUGAGAGCAGGGGGAAGGAGACGCCGAGGAAGGUGGACGUGCGCUGCACUGCUCGGUCGACCACCGGGGGUGGUCCCAGGUGCGAAGAUGUGGAGGUCGGAGGCAAGCAACGAGGGGGCAAAUGGUUCGAUGGUUGAGCUCCAACGAUGUGCACUAAACUGAUUGAACUUUGAUAAGUUGGCGCCUUUUGCUUUAUUUUCUUUUCCUUCAUAUAUACUGUAUUGCAUAGUGCUCUUUUAGUUUUAGUAAAAUCUUUUAGGUGUAUUCUGUAAUGGUAUCUGGUGUGAGUUUGAUAUUGUGUGGUACGCGCGGCAUAAACUUGAUUCUCACAGCACCAGUUGUGUGUACGGGAGGUGGGGUUGGUGAGUGGCUGGAUCUCCUUUUCCCCUAGACAUAUACCAGCCUGUUGGGUAAGUGUUACAUUGUGGCGACCCAUUUCCUGGCACAUCCGAACCGACUCACAAUUAGAUCGCCUACGGGGGUUUGCGAGCACAGAGCUUUGGAGCCUCUGCACCAUGGGGGGCAGGUUGAGGGAGGCUUAAAAGUGAGGCUGAAGAUUUCGAAUAAAGUUUUUUCCUUCGACUGCAGUUACCGACUCCGUGUCGUAAUUUUAGCGCUGCGUGUAGCACACCGCUACAACAUCAUUAUUUUUCUUAUUUGCACAGUUUGUCAUCUUUUCCGUAUUGAUUGUUUGUCAGUCUUUACGUACAGUUUUUCAUAAAGUCUCUUGUAUUUAUUUAUUUUGUAGAAAUGAAUCUCAUGGGAGGUUAUGGUAACGUAUGCGUACUUCGAUAACAAGUUUACUUUGAACUUUGGAGAUGGCAUAAUUAUACCAGUAAAGAUGCACUGGAGUAUUCGGGAUGAUAUUUCCUUGAAAGUGGAGUCGGUAAAUGCAGCAGCAAAGGUCUGGAUUUUGAACAACCAGUCAUGGAUUUUGCAGGCAUUUCCCUGCAGCUCUGAUCACAGCGAUUUAAUUCCCCUGCAAAAUCAUGUGGGAUCAAAAAGUGAGCAGAAGCUCAGAGUUUAGUGUGGUAGCUCCUUGGCAAAUCUCUGAUGGAUUAUGUUUGUCAGAUCCAAACUUCAAUGAAAAUCCUGGAAACAGUAGUACUUUUAGGAAGCAUUUAGUCAGAUACUUAAAUAAGCAAGGCAAAGAGGAUAUGAUACUAAUGCAAAUAUUAGUGAAGUAGGUGUGCAAUGCACGUGAUGGGAUGGAGGACCCAUUUCUGUGUAACACAGCACUAUGACUCAGCAGGCCAAGCAGCAGUUGUGGGAAAUGAAAUUGGGUGAAUGUUUCAGCUGGAAGAGUCUUGGCCAUAUAAAGAUCUUCCCACGGAUAAUGCCUGAUGUGCUGAGACGUUCCAGUAUUUUUCAGACUGUCAGAUCUGCUGUACUUGGGGGUUUUCUUGAGGGAAGGUACGGUAAGUGAAAUGCUUUACAGUGUCAGUGACCCAGGUUUGUUUUCUGUCACUGUCUCUAAGGAGUUUGUACUGUAUGUUCUCCCUCUGACUGGGUAGGUUUCCCCGGCUACUCUGGUGUCCUUCCACAUCCCAAAGACACCCAGGUUAAUUGGUCACUUGGAAUGACCUAUUACUGUGCCUUAUCUCUAAGUAAACAUAUAAACUUAAAUAUGAUUUUUGACUGAUCUGUUUCUUACCACAGAUGGAAAAAAAAGUGAACAUUUGAACUAAAACUGGAAGAUACUGGCACUGAAUAACAUCUGGAAGAAAAUAUGAUGUUAGCGUUUGAGCUAUGAUCCUUGCUGAGGACCUUUUCCUUCUCUGCUGAUUGAUGUCCUUUCAUUAAACCAAUGCGAGGAGCCUUAGAACGAUAGCUUUUUAAGAGCAGGAAUAAUAACCGUGGCUUGGGAUCUGGAGAAUAUUUCAAUCUCAUCUGCCCAAUCGAUCACAAAACCCAGUGUCCCCUCCAUUGACUGCAUCAAGAUCAAGGAUCCUCCCUACCCUGGUCAUUCUCUCCUCACCCUCCUUCCAUCGGGCAGAAGUCACAAAAGCCUGAAGGUUACUGCCUUUUCAUUCUUCUUACUGAAGUACAUCAAGUCAAGUCAAGGGAAAAGAGGAGAAGGCCACACAAGAAUGGGCUCACAGAUAGCCACUGAAUUAAACUACAGGCUUGGAAAUCCCGAAUAUCGAGUCAGUUUAUCAUAGUAAUGGCAGUCACCAGAAACUGGAAAGUCAUGAGUCGAGGCACUGAGUUCAGAAGUCAUCGUUAUGUUGCAGCUUUAUAAAACUCCAUUUAAGCCACACGUGGAGUAUUGCAUUCCGUUCUGGUCACCGUAUUAUCCAGUACUGUGCAACAGUCUUAGGCACAUAUAUAUUGUUAGGGUGCCUAAGACUGUUGUACAGUACUGUAGUAAUUUUAUGUAUUGCACUGAACUGCUGUCGCAAAAUCAAAAACAAAUUUCAUGACAUAUGUGAUUGAUGAUAAACCUGAUUCUGAUAUGGGUCUCUAUUGUGGACUGAGAGUGGGGAGAGGGAUAACACGGCUGGGAAAAUGAGAAGGGGGAGGAGAGGAGCAGGAAGCACCAGAGAGACAUUCUGUAAUGAUCAAUAAACCGAUCAUUUAGAAUCGAAUGAUCUUGCCUGGUGUCUCAAGGACGCGCAAACCCCCACCACCCCCCACCUCCGGUACCCUUUCUCUGCCUCUUGAAUAUCCUUAGCUCCACCAGAUUUACAAACACACUUGCCACUUCACGCUGACAAACGUAUAUAUAUACAGGCCUAAGAUUUUUUUUGCAGGGUACCAUAGGUAGGACGUUAAGGCUUUGGAGAGCGUGCAGAAGAGGUUUACCAAGAUAGUACCUACAUUAGAGGGCAAGUGCAAUAAUGACAGAUUGGACAAACUUGGGUUGAUUUUUCUGGAGUGGUGGAGAUCUGACAGAGAUUUGUAAGGCUAUGAGAGGCACAAAUAGAGUAGGCAGAUAAUUGUCUUUUUACCGGGGUUGAAAGGUCGAAUACCAGAGGACAUGCAAUUAAGGCGAGAGGGGGUAAUUUUAAAGGAGAUGUGAGGGGGGCAGGUUUUUUACACAGAGUGGUGGAUGCCUGGAAUGUUUUGCCUGGGAUGGUAGUAGAGGGAGAUACAUUAUGGAAUUUUAAAAGACAUGUAGAUAGGCACAAGGGUGUAAGAAAAAUGGAAGGAAAUGGACACUGCAUCGGCAGAGGAGAUUAGUUAACCAUAUGACUAGUAACUUAACUGAAUAGGCACAGCAUUGUGGGCCAUAGGGCCAGUUCCAAUGCUAUAAUGUUCUGUGUUUUAUGUUCUAAACUUUAAAAAGCAAUAUAUCCAUCAUCUUCAAUAUCCUUAACUGUUAAACAUAUUGAUGUGGUGAGACUCUACAGUUGAUCUCUGGCCCAAUGAGUUUGCUUGAAAGGAAUAUGACUUAGAAUAUUGGUAAAAUCUUGGCACUUCCAGAUCAUCCCAGACUAAACAAUUUUGUUGAUUUUUACAGUGAGGAUAGUUCACGUCACUGAUUCUACGUUAGCCUCGAUGGCUCCCCAAACAACUGAUAUGUUAGAAGUUUGUCAAUGUUACACAGUCAUAACAAUUUUGCCAUCUUUAUUCUCAUAAAUUUAAGAGCAUUGUAUUUUCAAACCAGUUGCCUUACCAGUCUAUCAUGCCUCUACCAACUUUUUACUAAAAACAAUUUAAAGAAAGCAGUUCACACAAAAUGGUGGGGGAUCUCAGUAGGUCAGGCAACAUCUAUGGAAUGGAAUAAACAGUCAACAAAUCAGACCCGGAUGAAGGGUCUCAGCCCUAAACAUCAACUGCUUAUUCCCCUCCAUAGAUGCUGCCUGACCUGCUGAGUUCCACCAGCAUUUUAUGAGUGCCUCUCAAGAUUUCCAGCAUCUGCAGAAUCUCAUGUGUUACCAUGUAUUCUACCUCCAUUUCUAAGAAGUCAAGGCCUAAUUUCUAGCACAUAGGCCUUGUUAAUAGAGUGACCUCCUGAAUGCAAAUAGACUUUCAAUAAUACAGAAGUAUUUUAACUGGUAACUUUACUCUUUUAUUGCCAUUAAUGUGCCUGCUAG